Small nuclear RNA from Phyllostomus discolor (pale spear-nosed bat), 104 nucleotides. The record is from RefSeq and is a predicted model, not a curated record. Lineage: Eukaryota; Metazoa; Chordata; Mammalia; Chiroptera; Phyllostomidae.
GUGCUCACUUCAGUAGCACAUACACUAACGUUGGAACACUACAGAGAUAAGCAUGGCCCCCACGCAAAGAUGGCAUGCAAAUUCAUGAAACAAAAAAUAUUGAC